AUUGAACGCUAGCGGGAUGCCUUACACAUGCAAGUCGAACGGAGUGGCGAACGGGUGAGUAAUGUAUCGGAACGUGCCCAGUAGCGGGGGAUAACUACGCGAAAGCGUAGCUAAUACCGCAUACUAUUGGAGCGGCCGAUAGCGGAUUAGCUAGUUGGUGGGGUAACGGCUCACCAAGGCGACGAUCCGUAGAGGGUUUGAGAGGACGACCAGACACAUUGGACGUGAGACACUGCCCAGACUCCUACGGGAGGCAGAAGGGGGGAAUUUUGUACAAUGGGGGAAACCAUGAGCCAGCCAUCCCGCGUGUGCGAUGAAGGCCUUCGGGUUGUAAAGCACUUUUGGCAGGAAAGCGGGACCUGCAGAAUAAGCACCGGCUAACUACGUGCCAGCAGCCGCGGUAAUAC
RNAcentral lists this ribosomal RNA (407 nucleotides) under uncultured bacterium. RNAcentral describes it as "partial 16S ribosomal RNA". It matches the Rfam family "Bacterial small subunit ribosomal RNA", at positions 30 to 526 of the family's 1533-position model. The record is from RNAcentral.